CCGGGUGCCCAUACCGGAGGGGAAACACCCGUUCCCAUUCCGAACACGGUCGUUAAGCCCUCCAGGGCCGAUGGUACUGGGUGGUCUACCCACCUGGGAGAGUAGGUCGGUGCCCGGG
This 118-nucleotide ribosomal RNA is filed under the name Thermodesulfobacterium sp. RNAcentral also lists the same sequence under 1 other name. The record is from RNAcentral. Lineage: Bacteria; Pseudomonadati; Thermodesulfobacteriota; Thermodesulfobacteria; Thermodesulfobacteriales; Thermodesulfobacteriaceae.